Molecule: ribosomal RNA, 253 nt
Filed under: uncultured bacterium
Lineage: Bacteria
Description: partial 16S ribosomal RNA
Rfam family: Bacterial small subunit ribosomal RNA
Source: RNAcentral
UACGUAGGGUGCGAGCGUUGUCCGGAAUUAUUGGGCGUAAAGAGCUCGUAGGCGGUCUGUCGCGUCGGCUGUGAAAACUCGGGGCUCAACUCCGAGCCUGCAGUCGAUACGGGCAGACUAGAGUGCUGUAGGGGAGACUGGAAUUCCUGGUGUAGCGGUGAAAUGCGCAGAUAUCAGGAGGAACACCGGUGGCGAAGGCGGGUCUCUGGGCAGUGACUGACGCUGAGGAGCGAAAGCGUGGGGAGCGAACAGG